Gossypium arboreum is the source of this 546-nucleotide long non-coding RNA. RefSeq lists it as uncharacterized. The transcript has 2 exons. The record is from RefSeq and is a predicted model, not a curated record. Lineage: Eukaryota; Viridiplantae; Streptophyta; Magnoliopsida; Malvales; Malvaceae.
ACGGAUUAACAAGUUGACCAGUACAAUAUUUCAUUUCUUUAUAGGGUUUAUGUUGUUGUCAAUUGAGUACGAUUUUGAAUGGGAGAUGGAUAUGAAUGGACAGCUUAUAGUGAAGAUGUUAGAUUCCUUGCACUGCAACUGUUCAGUUGUCAAUCAUGCUGUUCACUGCCCCAAUGUUCAUUACAUCUUUUAAUUGCUGUUCCAGGUGAUUAUCAGAUUCCCUUAUUAUAACAGUAUAUCCAAAUCUCAAGACUUAUAUUAGGCAUCCAUGAACUUUUGAUGUAUUGUACUAUUAAACAAGCAAAUUAUGAAUAAGAUAUAUGAGUUCAUGGUGAGCGUCGGAAAUACACAGGUAUGUUCAAUUUUUAAAACUCUUUUCAUAUAUUUGUACCAUCGUACCCUAUACUCAUGUAUUACAAAGUAAACCAAAUUUUGAGUUGAGGCAUAAUUUGUUUUCCUUCACUAAUUGGUACCCUUUAGCUUAUCUGCUUUCAUCUUUGUAAUCCUAUGUUUGGUUUGUAUAUAUGUAAAUGCUAUGUUUUUAAA